GGAUCCAGACUUUGAUCCUGGCUCAGGACGAACGCUGGCGGCGUGCCUAACACAUGCAAGUCGAACGGAACCCCUUGGAAAGAGUUUUCGGACAAUGGAAGAGGGCGUUUAGUGGCGGACGGGUGAGUAACGCGUGAGCAAUCUACCUUUCAGAGGGGGACAACAGUUGGAAACGACUGCUAAUACCGCAUAACGUAUCUUUGCGGCAUCGUAGAGAUACCAAAGAUUUAUCGCUGAGAGAUGAGCUCGCGUCCAAUUAGCUAGAUGGCGGGGUAAAGGCCCACCAUGGCGACGAUUGGUAGCCGGACUGAGAGGUUGAACGGCCACAUUGGGACUGAGACACGGCCCAGACUCCUACGGGAGGCAGCAGUGGGGGAUAUUGCGCAAUGGGGGAAACCCUGACGCAGCAACGCCGCGUGAAGGAAGAAGGUCUUCGGAUUGUAAACUUUUGUCUUGUGGGACGAAUCAAUGACGGUACCACAGGAGGAAGCCACGGCUAACUACGUGCCAGCAGCCGCGGUAAUACGUAGGUGGCGAGCGUUGUCCGGAAUUACUGGGUGUAAAGGGUGCGUAGGCGGGGAUGCAAGUCAGAUGUGAAAUCUAUCGGCUUAACUGGUAAACUGCAUUUGAAACUGCAUUUCUUGAGUGGUGGAGAGGUAAGCGGAAUUCCUAGUGUAGCGGUGAAAUGCGUAGAUAUUAGGAGGAACACCAGUGGCGAAGGCGGCUUACUGGACACUAACUGACGCUGAGGCACGAAAGCAUGGGGAGCAAA
Molecule: ribosomal RNA, 772 nt
Filed under: uncultured Bacteroidota bacterium
Lineage: Bacteria; Pseudomonadati; Bacteroidota
Description: bacterial SSU rRNA
Rfam family: Bacterial small subunit ribosomal RNA
Source: RNAcentral